GCGGCUCUACUCCAAUCGGCAGAGAGGCCACUUUCAGGAAGUGGUUGUUCCGGGUUCGAAUCCCGGGAGCCGUACCA
The sequence is a transfer RNA, 77 nucleotides long. It matches the Rfam family "tRNA". Rfam says of the family: Transfer RNA (tRNA) molecules are approximately 80 nucleotides in length. Their secondary structure includes four short double-helical elements and three loops (D, anti-codon, and T loops). Further hydrogen bonds mediate the characteristic L-shaped molecular structure. tRNAs have two regions of fundamental functional importance: the anti-codon, which is responsible for specific mRNA codon recognition, and the 3' end, to which the tRNAs corresponding amino acid is attached (by aminoacyl-tRNA synthetases). tRNAs cope with the degeneracy of the genetic code in two manners: having more than one tRNA (with a specific anti-codon) for a particular amino acid; and 'wobble' base-pairing, i.e. permitting non-standard base-pairing at the 3rd anti-codon position.